GGGGGGGGGAUUGGGGGGGGGUUGCCACCACCACCAGACUAGGUUUUGUUUGUUUGCUUUUUGAGACAGUGUUUCCUCUGUGUGGACCUGGUCGUCCUGAAACUUGCUCCAUAGGCCAGGCUGGUCUUGAAUUCAGGAAUCAGCCUGUUUCUGCCUUCCAAACUCUGGGAUUAAAGGCACACACCACCACACCUGUUUCCCUAAAUUGGUUUCCAGAUAGGGCAAGCUGACCUUGAACUCACCGUGUAGCUGGAACUCCUGGCAACCCUUCUGCCUUAGCCUCCAGAGUGCUGGAGUGAUCGGCACAAGCCUCUGUGUCUAGUGAGUUCCAGAGGCUUGGAGCUUAUGCCGGAGACCGAGGCAGGUGACUGGAGCAGCAGCUGAGAGUUCACGUCUUGAUCUGCAAGCAGCAGGCGGAGAGCUAACCGGGAAUAGGGUGAGUCUUUUGAAACCUCAGAGCCCACCCUCGGGGACACAUCUCCAACAAGGCAAUACAGUUUCACCAACUGGGGACGAGACCCUCACAGAUGGUUCAGCAGUUAAGAGCACUGGCUGUUCUUCCAGAAGACUGGGGUUCAAUUCCAAGCACCCAUAUGGUGGAUCGCAGACAUCUCUAACUUCAGUGCCUGGGGGUUCUAUGCUGCCCUCUUCUGGCUUUUGAGGGCAUUGGGCAUGCGCAUAAUGCACACACAUAUGCAGGCAAAAUAUCAUACACAUUAAAAAAUAAAAUAAGAUAAACAGGAAGCAUAUGCAGAUUGGAGGUGUCUUCAAGCAGCAGGCCCACUUUUGGGUGCACGGGUGCAUUGUAUUGUGACUGUGUGACUUGGGUACAUAUAUGUGCUUUGGGGGGGGGAUCUGCUGCUACAUGCUUCCCAGUACUAUGCGGGGGUCAGUGGAGGGUCUGUUUUGUGAGUUGUAUGUGUGAGGGAGAGCUGUCUGUAUGGGUGACCCUGAGCUACACAUCUGAGUUCUGUGAAUCGUUGCAGCAUCUGCGCUGGCUGGUUCUAUACUAAGGGGGCUGGGGGAAGGCACAGGCUUGUCCUUGGUGCUGGCACUGGGUAUCCAUAACGGGCAGGCGGCAUGGUCCUAGGCUGGGAGCUUUAGAGCCAGGCCUGAGUGGUGACUCCUAGGCUGUUGCCCCUGAGAGAAUGACCUCUCUCUGAGCAAUAAUUAACUUGGGCCUGUGAGAAGGAUCCAAACUGUGGAGGUGAAGGGGUGGAGUCUUCUCAGCACAGGAGGAGGGCUGGAAGUCCUAUAGGCAGCUGUGCGGUUAUCAUUUCCUACUGCCCACCCUUCAGGUCAGUCACCCUGACCCAGGAUAACCGGGUCAAAAUAUUUCACAAACACUGAGGCACAGACAUUAACCAAUCAAAACACACCCUAGCCAGACUCUGAAUGGAGCAGGGCUGGAGGCUGUAGCCUAGGUGAUUAGGACAACGGGAAUGACCCUCCGAGCGGAGGAGGGUCCCAGGUCUGGGGCAGGGCAGAGGCACAAUGGAAGGGAACUCAGGGACUCAGGACACAGUGGUUUCAGACUUUAAUAACUGCGGGUGACCAUACCAUAGUUAAACCUCUGCCUGCUUCGGCCUCUAAGUUGCUUUUGGGGCAGCUCUGGCUGCUUUGUUCCCUGGUGCUGGGAGAGUAAAGGACCAGUAUCUUCUGUCAAUUGCAGGAAAGGGGUACUCCGAGGGUCAAGAAUUCUUGAAAGUAAAGUGGUCUUGUUUACUUUGGGAAUGGGGGCAUUUCUGUGAUUAGCUGCAAUCCCAAUAUCUCCGAGGUAAGAGACGAUCUCUAGGGGACAGUAACCUGGAGACAGUAACCUGGAGAUAGGGACAGAAAGUCCCUCUGCUCAGGGAGAAGGGCGCGAAGGUGGCAGAAGUGAGAAGAGGCUUUCUGGUGGCUUCUCAUUCAGCUGUAAAACAGAGCUUAUCCCUAGCACUGACAUCACCAUCCUGUCCUAGAACAUUAAGGAGCUGGUCUCUGGUUCCUUUCCAGGAGUCCCCUCUGGCAAGAGUAGAGUGCACCCUGGAGAUUGGCUCGUCCCUUCUACAGGCAACUAUGGUGUCAGUUGGUCACACCUUUUAUUACAAAAAUCAAUAACUUAGUUUAGUUCUAUACAAAGUCAGGAGGAGUUCUGGCUUGAUGUAUUACAGCCUUAUUCAUGCUCCCAUCCCUGGCCCUGGCCCAGAAGUUUUGGGGGGCUACCAAGGGCCUAUUAGGCAGUUAGUAGCACAUUGUGUCCAAGCCAAGGAAGUCCAAACUGGGGCUGUGGCUGAAGUGAGGGCUACAUCUGGGGAGUUGAGCUCCUCCCCUUUGGAAGCUCCGGACCCCACUCUGCAGGUCACCGCAGCAAAAGCAUGUCUUCGAGCAGUUCAGUGAUGUCAACAUCUCCGAUGAUA
This is a long non-coding RNA of Alexandromys fortis (reed vole), 2399 nucleotides long. RefSeq lists it as uncharacterized. The transcript has 2 exons. The record is from RefSeq and is a predicted model, not a curated record. NCBI's taxonomy places the organism in Eukaryota, Metazoa, Chordata, Mammalia, Rodentia, Cricetidae.